GUAGUCCACGCCCUAAACGAUGAUAACUCGUUGUUGGCGAUACACAGUCAGCGACUAAGCGAAAGCAUUAAGUUAUCCACCUGGGAAGUACGACCGCAAGGUUGAAACUCAAAGGAAUUGACGGGGGCCCGCACAAGCGGAGGAGCAUGUGGUUUAAUUCGAUGAUACGCGAGGAACCUUACCUGGGCUUGAAAGUUAGCGACCGGUCCUGAAAGGGAUCUUCCCGCAAGGGCGCGAAACUAGGUGCUGCAUGGCUGUCGUCAGCUCGUGCCGUGAGGUGUUGGGUUAAGUCCCGUAACGAGCGCAACCCCUAUCAUUAGUUGCCAUCAGGUAAAGCUGGGGACUCUAAUGAGACUGCCCGCGCAAGCGGUGA
This 373-nucleotide ribosomal RNA is filed under the name uncultured bacterium. Its description in RNAcentral is "bacterial SSU rRNA". It matches the Rfam family "Bacterial small subunit ribosomal RNA", at positions 790 to 1167 of the family's 1533-position model. The record is from RNAcentral.